Molecule: ribosomal RNA, 292 nt
Filed under: uncultured bacterium
Lineage: Bacteria
Description: partial 16S ribosomal RNA
Rfam family: Bacterial small subunit ribosomal RNA
Source: RNAcentral
GUGUCAGCCGCCGCGGUAAUACGGAGGAUGCAAGCGUUAUCCGGAAUGAUUGGGCGUAAAGGGUCCGCAGGUGGCAAUGUGUGUCUGCUGUCAAAGAAUGAGGCUUAACCUCAUCAAGGCAGUGGAAACUACAUAGCUAGAGUACGGUCGGGGUAGAAGGAAUUCCUGGUGUAGCGGUGAAAUGCGUAGAGAUCAGGAAGAACACCGGUGGCGAAAGCGUUCUGCUAGACCUGUACUGACACUGAGGGACGAAAGCUAGGGGAGCGAAUGGGAUUAGAAACCCUGGUAGUCC